GCCUGCGUGGCUCAGUUGGAUAAGCAUCUGACUCUUGGUGUCAGCUCAGGUCAUGAUCUCGUGGGUUGUGAGUUCAAACCCCACCUCAGGCU
This 92-nucleotide transfer RNA is filed under the name Felis catus (domestic cat). It matches the Rfam family "tRNA". Rfam says of the family: Transfer RNA (tRNA) molecules are approximately 80 nucleotides in length. Their secondary structure includes four short double-helical elements and three loops (D, anti-codon, and T loops). The record is from Rfam by way of RNAcentral. Lineage: Eukaryota; Metazoa; Chordata; Mammalia; Carnivora; Felidae.